This 501-nucleotide ribosomal RNA is filed under the name uncultured bacterium. RNAcentral describes it as "partial 16S ribosomal RNA". It matches the Rfam family "Bacterial small subunit ribosomal RNA", at positions 899 to 1397 of the family's 1533-position model. The record is from RNAcentral.
ACUCAAAGGAAUUGACGGGGACCCGCACAAGCGGUGGAGCAUGUGGAUUAAUUCGAUACUAACCGAAGAACCUUACCCAGACUUGACAUCGAUGGAAAGGCGCUGAAAGGCGUCCCUCCCUCUCAAGGGGACCAGAAGACACUUGUUGCAUGGCUGUCGUCAGCUCGUGCCGUGAGGUGUACGGUUAAGUCCGCCAACGAGCGCAACCCUCGUCCUGUGUUACCAGCAUGAAAGAUGGGAACUCACAGGAGACCGCCGGUGUAAGCCGGAGGAAGGUGGGGAUGACGUCAAGUCAGCAUGGCAGUUACGUCUGGGGCUUCACACAUGCUACAAUGGGCGCAACAGAGGGCCGCGAUACCGCGAGGUGGAGCUAAUCCCAAAAAUACGCCCCCAGUUCAGAUUGCAGUCUGCAACUCGACUGCAUGAAGGCGGAAUCGCUAGUAAACGCAGGUCAGCUAUACUGCGUUGAAUACGUUCCCGGGUCUUGUACACACCGCCCGU